RNAcentral lists this ribosomal RNA (403 nucleotides) under Actinomycetes bacterium. Its description in RNAcentral is "Actinobacteria bacterium partial 16S ribosomal RNA". It matches the Rfam family "Bacterial small subunit ribosomal RNA", at positions 355 to 776 of the family's 1533-position model. Lineage: Bacteria; Bacillati; Actinomycetota; Actinomycetes. The record is from RNAcentral.
UGGGGAAUAUUGCACAAUGGGGGAAACCCUGAUGCAGCGACGCCGCGUGAACGAAGAAGGUAUUCGUAUCGUAAAGUUCUGUCCUAUGGGAAGAUAAUGACAGUACCAUAGAAGAAAGCUCCGGCUAAAUACGUGCCAGCAGCCGCGGUAAUACGUAUGGAGCGAGCGUUGUCCGGAAUUAUUGGGCGUAAAGGGUACGCAGGCGGUUUAAUAAGUCGAAUGUUAAAGAUCGGGGCUCAACCCCGUAAAGCAUUGGAAACUGAUAAACUUGAGUAGUGGAGAGGAAAGUGGAAUUCCUAGUGUAGUGGUGAAAUACGUAGAUAUUAGGAGGAAUACCAGUAGCGAAGGCGACUUUCUGGUCUGUAACUGACGCUGAUGUGCGCAAGCGUGGGGAUCAAACAGG